GAUGAACGCUGGCGGCGUGCUUAACACAUGCAAGUCGAACGAUCAAGUCCAGCUUUCGGGGUGGAGUAGUUGCGAACGGGUGAGUAACACGUGAGUAACCUGCCCUUAAAUCUGGGAUAAGCCUGGUAAACUGGGUCGAAUACCGGAUAGGAAAGUUCACCGCAUGGAUGGUGUAGGAAUGAUUUAUCGGUUUUGGAUGGACUCGCGGUCUAUCCGCUUUGUGGUGAGGUAUUGGCUCACCAAGGCGUUGCCGGGUAGCCGGCCUGGGAGGGUGACCGGCCACACUGGUCCUGCGGCAGGGCCCAGACUCGUACGUUCGGCAGUAGUGGGAAACAUUGCGGAAUGGGCGCAAGCCUGAUACAGCGGCGCCGCGUGAGGGAUGACGGCCUUCUGGUUGUAAACCUCUUUCAGUAGGAAAGAAGCGAAAGUGACGGUACCUGAAGAAGAAGCACCGGCUAACUACGUG
This 466-nucleotide ribosomal RNA is filed under the name uncultured bacterium. RNAcentral describes it as "partial 16S ribosomal RNA". It matches the Rfam family "Bacterial small subunit ribosomal RNA", at positions 28 to 507 of the family's 1533-position model. The record is from RNAcentral.